CUAAUCCUCCCUUCACCGACCACAAAGGUCAAGCCCAAACACUAAUCUUUGUGUCACACCCGGGUUUUAGGGGGUCCAAAGCCCGGGCGUAAACAUAAACACCAGGUGUGCUGGGACCAAGUCUCACACAUAUGAUGCAUAGUGGCUCAGGAUCGAAUGUCACAUCUUUACUACAUAACAGGAGUUCUAUACAAAAUAAAUAGAUAAUUACAUUAUAAGGAGACAACGGUCCAGCAACCCAAAGUUGACUGGGAGACGACGACCUAGACCUCUCACGAACUCGACACAGCAUCCUUCAUGCGCCUCAUCCUGUGGUACCUGUUCUUGACCUGUGGGGGGGGUGUGAGACAGCAAGAGUGAGCUCACAUACGUUCAUCGCUCAACAAGUUGUGGGGAAUAAUGUGUAUGAACUCGCCAAAGGUGGGAGCUCAUGUGAAGUGUAAGGCUUACCAAAGAGGAUGGUUAGAGCUGAGCAUUGCUUUUAAAGUUGGUCAAAAUUUUAUUAGCAAUUACUAAGUAUAAGUAAAUACCAACCCAAUUAAAUAGUAGAACAGAAGUAACAACAUCACCUGUACAACAUCACCUGCGAUGCAAUGCAUAUGACAAAUUGAGUUUAAUUCCAUAAUUUAAUCAUGUGAGUGUCCGAGCCGCUCAUGACCGUGAGCACGGCUAGUAUACCAGUUUUACACUCUGCAGAGGUUGCGCAUCUUUACCCACAAGUCAUGUUACCCAUCUGCCAAGGGAUCGCGACUUCCCAUACACCUCUACCGAGGAGGCGAGGCAGGGUAACACUACGAGGCCUUUACAAAGUUCCACUAGCUUCAGAAAACCCGCUACAGUUUAUAGGAAGCUCCAAUGCAGGAAUCCCUUGCAGGACCGCCAUCACAGCAAAAUCCUCCCGAGGGCCUCCCCAGGAAUCCCUUGCAGGACCGCCAUCACAGCAAAAUCCUCCCGAGGGCCUUCCCAGGAAUCCCUUGCAGGACCGCCAUCACAGCAAAAUCCUCCCGAGGGCCUCCCUACACUGACCACUCCCCUACUGCCCUUGCCCCUUUCGGGUAAGGUAGUCUUCCACUAGCUUUCCUAAUUAAUCGGCCAAGGGCGUCCCAUUAAACCCUUGUGGUAGCACUGUUUUCCCGGGUGGUUCUCCAUGUUCCAAUUAACAUAAUGAUCUUAUCAUGAACAGUGAUAAUAAACAGAUAAUAAAAGUGUGAUCAUGAAUAAUGUAUCUUCAUACCCAAAACCACAUAAAGCACUAGCAAGUACUACCCAAAAAGUUCAGUGGUAAACAAGGUAUAAAGAUAGACAAACUAGGGUAACCUAUUGGGUCCCAUCAAAUUAACCUAUGCAGAUCAUUAUGAUUAAUUAGAACAUGAGUGGGUAAAAAGAAGUGAUCAAGGGCACAACUUGCCUGGGACUUGAGAUUCCAGGUACCAGGAUGAUCUUCAGAUGACUCGUGACCUCACUGCUAGUCGUAGCAAUACAGACAAACAUGGUAUAGCUAAAAUUAACAUCACACCAAACAUAAGAACAAACUGAAUAAGGAUGAUCUAUGCGUUUCUACGAGACUAGCGCAAUUUGAACGGAUCAAAUCGGAGUUAAAACGGAGGAGAUACGAAUUUCUUGAGGUUUUAUGUAUUUGAUACGAGAUUAGCUAAGAAAUGAAUUUUAAUAUCAUUUUCGUGUUAAAAUAGAGACACUAAGUAUUAAAUAAUAUUAAUACAAAAUUAUAGGGACUGGGAUAGAUUAAAAGGAGUUAAAAUGCAUUUUCUAGGAAUUAAUUAAGUUCCUAUAAUUAUUCUCACACAAAAAUGUAUUUUCUAAAUGAAUUCCUUUGAUUUUCUGUUCUCUGGACCGAGCGCACUAUUUACAGAAAACACAGGGACUACGUCGCAAAUAUUCCAAGACUCAGUGUACAGCCGCAUAGGACGGCGGGUUUAUUUUUAAACUAAUCAGGGACUCUUUUGCAAUGUUACGCAGCCGAAAGGGUUUCGUGGGAUCUCGGUCGCACAGAUUACAAUAAACGGCCCAGAUUAAAUGAUGAAUCGGUACGCACCCGGGGUCACUGGAUUUCGAUCCAACGGCCCAAGAUCGCCCGGAUGAAACGGUACAGGGCCGACUAAUCUUGGUCGUUGGUGGCUUGAUCGGCGGCUAGGAUCGGAGGGGCCAACAGGUCACUACUAACUUUAAUCGUGACCACCCCUCUACAAUCCAACGAUGCCAGGGUCGUCUCCCUCACCAGAUUCAAUCCUAGCCAUCCACAGCCGAACGAACGGCCAAGAGGCCAUCACCGACCUCCGGCCAGAUCCUCUAAGACGCGCAGGCAUCCCACGAUGGCGCUAGCCGCCGGCGAGGCCACGGACGACGCCCCGCUGCUCAAUCCACGAACCAACGAAUUCAAUCGCCACAAGAAGGACAAAGCGAAGGAUGCAGAGAGGGUCUUACCAGACAUCAGAGCUGUGAAACCGUUCGCCGCGCAGAGACAGCCAGUGGCGGCGCAAUCCUUCCCCAGAUCUCGUGCUGUGGUCGAGGACGAGCUUGGCCAAACCGAUCCAAACCUCUGCGUGAAUCAUGGAGAACCGGUGAAGCCGCCCUCACUCAGCCCACCGCCAGAAGCGAAGCUCGUUUCGAGUCGUGGCUUCGGGAAGAGGACGACCCGUCAGGAGGGGCCCACGCGCCAGUGGUGUGAGACGGAAGAGCACGCGUGCGGCCGGCUGACACGGCGGACUCAAUCUCGCCCACGCACCUCCCUCCCCCACAGCGGCGACGGCGACCCGGAAGUUCUGCCCUGGCGCACGCGCGAGGAUAGGGAAGAUGUUCUGGGCGACCCUGCGACACCUCCAAACCUGUAGAUGUCUUGGAUGCUUCUCCUCAACCCAGCGCCCUUCCGCGAGACCGAGGUUGGCGGCCCCUCAUUGCUGCAGCGGUGCUGCACGGUUCAUCCAAGGAGUCGCCAUCCAAGCUCUCACCCCGCGCGGCAAGGAGCUCUCGGCGGCCAUCCAAUCUUCCUCCAUGUGGUGAAGCAGCACCGAGCGGCACACGCAGUUGACUAUGACCCCUAGCGGCUGAUCUGUCCCUUCCCCGCCAUGGCGCACAAUGGUGG
This 3100-nucleotide long non-coding RNA is filed under the name Zea mays. Its description in RNAcentral is "long non-coding RNA (ZMAY_LNC005198)". Lineage: Eukaryota; Viridiplantae; Streptophyta; Magnoliopsida; Poales; Poaceae. The record is from RNAcentral.